Glycine soja is the source of this 1476-nucleotide RNA transcript. It is a transcript of the gene named 2-methyl-6-phytyl-1,4-hydroquinone methyltransferase, chloroplastic, with no coding region annotated. The record is from RefSeq and is a predicted model, not a curated record. NCBI's taxonomy places the organism in Eukaryota, Viridiplantae, Streptophyta, Magnoliopsida, Fabales, Fabaceae. The transcript has 4 exons.
AAAGGUUGUGGUUCCUUCAUCUCUUUCGUUUCGUCCUUGCCUUCACCCCAAAGCCUAUUUUCCCAUUUUCCCCUUUUCAUGAUAACAACUCUCCAUGUAGGGCAAACUUCACUUCAAUUGAACUAACUUGUCUGUGGCUUUUUGUAGAUUGAUUCAAUUCAAUGGGUUCAGUAAUGCUCAGUGGAACUGAAAAGCUCACUCUCAGAACCCUAACCGGGAACGGCUUAGGUUUCACUGGUUCGGAUUUGCACGGUAAGAACUUCCCAAGAGUGAGUUUCGCUGCUACCACUAGUGCUAAAGUUCCCAACUUUAGAAGCAUAGUAGUACCCAAGUGUAGUGUCUCGGCUUCCAGGCCAAGCUCGCAGCCAAGGUUCAUUCAGCACAAAAAAGAGGCCUUUUGGUUCUAUAGGUUUCUCUCAAUUGUGUAUGACCAUGUCAUUAACCCUGGCCAUUGGACCGAGGACAUGAGGGAUGAUGCCCUUGAACCCGCUGAUCUCAAUGACAGGAACAUGAUUGUGGUGGAUGUUGGUGGCGGCACGGGUUUCACCACUCUUGGUAUUGUCAAGCACGUGGAUGCCAAGAAUGUCACCAUUCUUGACCAGUCACCCCACCAGCUCGCCAAGGCCAAGCAGAAGGAGCCACUCAAGGAAUGCAAAAUAAUCGAAGGGGAUGCCGAGGAUCUCCCCUUUCGAACUGAUUAUGCCGAUAGAUAUGUAUCCGCAGGAAGUAUUGAGUACUGGCCGGAUCCACAGCGUGGCAUCAAGGAGGCAUACAGGGUUUUGAAACUUGGAGGCAAAGCGUGUCUAAUUGGUCCGGUCUACCCAACAUUUUGGUUGUCACGUUUCUUUGCAGAUGUUUGGAUGCUUUUCCCCAAGGAGGAAGAGUAUAUUGAGUGGUUUCAGAAGGCAGGGUUUAAGGACGUCCAACUAAAAAGGAUUGGCCCAAAAUGGUAUCGUGGGGUUCGCCGUCAUGGCUUGAUUAUGGGUUGUUCAGUGACCGGUGUUAAACCUGCAUCUGGAGAUUCUCCUUUGCAGCUUGGUCCAAAGGAAGAAGAUGUUGAAAAGCCCGUUAAUCCUUUUGUCUUUGCACUGCGCUUCGUUUUGGGUGCCUUGGCAGCGACAUGGUUUGUGUUGGUUCCUAUUUACAUGUGGCUGAAAGAUCAAGUUGUUCCCAAAGGUCAGCCAAUCUAAGAGAUAUUGAUAAUUAGUAAUCCUUUUGAUACUUAUCAGUGUCUUCUCCAAAGUUUCAUCAAAUGUCAAAUAGUUUAUUACGUAAUUGAGUUUAAAUUUUCUGGGUGCUUUAGCAAGCUAUGAUAAUUUGGGCGGGAGGGGCUAAUGCAACGUCAUUUUGUUCUGUCCAUCAGCAGUCUUAGAGGUCAAUUAUUCCAACAUUGUUUUAUGCAAUGAUUAUAUAAGGACGUUAAUGUUUGUUUAGGGUCUAACAUUCCUUUCUUUUUAUCAACUGAUACUAAUCCAA